AUACGGAAGGUGCAAGCGUUGUUCGGAAUUAUUGGGCGUAAAGCGCGUGUAGGCGGUUUUUUAAGUCUGAUGUGAAAGCCCCGGGCUCAACCCGGGAAGUGCAUUGGAAACUGGGAGACUUGAAUACGGGAGAGGGUAGUGGAAUUCCUAGUGUAGGAGUGAAAUCCGCAGAUAUUAGGAGGAACACCGGUGGCGAAGGCGGCUACCUGGACCGAUAUUGACGCUGAGACGCGAAAGCGUGGGGAGC
RNAcentral lists this ribosomal RNA (247 nucleotides) under uncultured bacterium. RNAcentral's name for it is "partial 16S ribosomal RNA". It matches the Rfam family "Bacterial small subunit ribosomal RNA", at positions 523 to 769 of the family's 1533-position model. The record is from RNAcentral.